GGAGAGGUGGCCGAGUGGUCGAAGGCACGCCCCUGCUAAGGGCGCAUACGAGCUUAAACUUGUAUCGAGGGUUCGAAUCCCUCCUUCUCCGCCA
RNAcentral lists this transfer RNA (94 nucleotides) under Gallionellales bacterium GWA2_60_142. Its description in RNAcentral is "tRNA-Ser". It matches the Rfam family "tRNA". Rfam says of the family: Transfer RNA (tRNA) molecules are approximately 80 nucleotides in length. Lineage: Bacteria; Pseudomonadati; Pseudomonadota; Betaproteobacteria; Nitrosomonadales. RNAcentral also lists the same sequence under 8 other names. The record is from RNAcentral.